Molecule: ribosomal RNA, 557 nt
Filed under: uncultured Cortinariaceae
Lineage: Eukaryota; Fungi; Basidiomycota; Agaricomycetes; Agaricales; Cortinariaceae
Description: eukaryotic LSU rRNA
Rfam family: 5.8S ribosomal RNA (bases 152-305)
Source: RNAcentral
GGGUUGUUGCUGGUUCUCUAGGGAGCAUGUGCACACCUUGUCAUCUUUAUAUCUCCACCUGUGCACUUUUUGUAGACCUUUUCAGGUCUAUGUUGCCUCAUUUUACCCCAAUGUAUGUCAAUAGAAUGUUGUGCCUAUAUAUAAUAUAUACAACUUUCAGCAACGGAUCUCUUGGCUCUCGCAUCGAUGAAGAACGCAGCGAAAUGCGAUAAGUAAUGUGAAUUGCAGAAUUCAGUGAAUCAUCGAAUCUUUGAACGCACCUUGCGCUCUUUGGUAUUCCGAGGAGCAUGCCUGUUUGAGUGUCAUUAAUAUAAUCAACCUUCUCUUGUUUUGAGAAUGGUUUGGAUGUGGGGGAUUUGCUGGCCUCUCUCAAAAGGUUCAGCUCCCCUGAAAUGCAUUAGCAGAACAACCUUUGCUCAUUGGUGUGAUAACUAUCUACGCUUAUGAAUAUGAGGGGCAGUUCAGCUUUCUAACGGUCUUUGGACAAUUCAUCAUUAAUGUGACCUCAAAUCAGGUAGGACUACCCGCUGAACUUAAGCAUAUCAAUAAGGCGGAGG